ACAUAUACGUUUGUAUUCUGUUAGUGAGGCAGAUGGAAGCACAGAGAAGCUUAGCAUGGCCCCUUCACAAGGAUGACAUGCAACUUCAUGAAGCAUUCCAUAUUUUC
Small nuclear RNA from Callorhinus ursinus (northern fur seal), 107 nucleotides. The record is from RefSeq and is a predicted model, not a curated record. NCBI's taxonomy places the organism in Eukaryota, Metazoa, Chordata, Mammalia, Carnivora, Otariidae.